AAAAAAAACCCGAACUCCAGCUCAGACCGAAAUCCCCAAAUCGACCCCUAGCCUCCUCCCGCACACUCCGCUGCCGCCGCCCACCCUCCGCGGCUGCCGACCGCCCUCCGCCACACCCCAGUGCCAGCUUCCUUCCCGACCACGCCGCCAACUACCGUCCGCCACACCCACUGCCACUCCCUCCCGGACCAUUCCGCCGAGCGCCCUCCGCCGCCCCGACCACCAUUGGCCGGACCUCCAGCAACGCCCAAGUAGCCAAGCCUCCUCCACGCGCUCUCCGCCAGGCUCGAGUUGCUCAAGCGUUUCAGCGGAAGGAUCUGUUCGGGUGAUGAUGACCACAAGGAUGGCUUCUAACUUCCACCAGAUUUCGCAUGACCACGAGGUAAUCCAGUUAGGUUUGGUUUGGAUUUGGCUGUCUUACUCGGUGUCGCCGCCGCCGAGCUGCGUCCCGAUGCCGACGUCGCUGCUGCUGGACGCCAGCGCCGGGCGGAAGAAGAUGCCGACCCCGUGCGCCGUGCAGGUGGCUGGCGGGGGGCGUGGAGGUCGGCGCCACCAAAACAAGUUGGUCCUCUCGAUCUAGCAGAGCAUAGCAGAUCCCUGACGAGCUGGUCCUCUUCGCCUUGGUCUGUUCUUCAUCCUAGACCGAGCGGAGUAUGCUUCAUCCUGCAGGCCCCCCAUGGCAUUGGCAAGAAGAAGAAUGAAUACUGAGAUCAAGUCAGAAUAACAAGGAUCACAGCACCUGGAACUGCGUGAUGUACUCCACCAUCGGACGGCGAACAUCUCCGCCAUCGGACGAGGGAAGCGGGGGAAGAACGGGAUCCCCAGCGCGGCGCCGGCGCGCACCUGGUCCAUCAGUAGUAUACUCGUUCAGUCAUCUUUGCUCAAGGGAAGUGUAACUGAAGAUGAGUACUCACACCUUGGCUGCUGAUAAAGGCGAUGGCGAAGCGGUUCUGGGAUCAUCGGCGCUGAGAGAGGAUUGUACCCAGGGGCUCAUUAAAGUCUACGUUCCUGUUACAAAGAGGCCUGAAUGCCUACAUGACCAUGAUGUUCUUUGUUGCUGUCAAAGAAAAUCUUUGGUGGGAGCACAUUUGAUCCAUUUAGUGAGCACAUUUUCUAGGAGUAGAAAUCAGUGUUAACUGACAAAUGUUCAGUAAAUGGAUGCUAUCAAAGAUUUUAUUUACUGCUGCCAUAUUAGUGUUAGCGGUAUAUGCUCUAUGUAAACUAUAUUUAGAGAUUCAGUGAUGGGUUGAUUUACAAAUACUGAAGAUUUGGAGUAGAUGGGAUAAGCUUGCCAACAACUACUCAAUUUGCUUGGAGUAGGCCUAUUUUGCUUGCAAUAAGUUGGACUACAGCAAGUGAGUAGUGCUCAGUACUGUUAAGUUAGAGUAGUCAUGUUUAGUUCAGUACUGUUGAGUUAAGAGUAGUCAGCAAGUGUUGCUUAGGACUACACUGAACAUGUUGCACCUAACUGACCAUAUUCAAAGCAAGUUAAAAAUGAAAAGCAAGUUAAUGUCAAGUUAACUGAGCAUUUUGACAAUAAGCGUUCAUUUAAGUUAACAGUAAAUCAAGUUUUCUUUUUUGCGCGCGGGGGGGCAGUAAAUCAAGUUAAUGUCAAGUUACUUUGUCAACUCGUUCCUGUUCACAGUGGUGAAAUUUUGUCAAUAUGCUUGUUACUUUGUCAAAAUGCUUGUUACUGACCAUUUACUCUUGUCAAAAUGCUUGUUCCAGUGUAUUGACCAUUUAAUCUACUGACCAUUUAUAUCAUGUAUGGAGAAGUUCAUUUUGCUGUGUACUGAUGGAGAAGUUCAUUUUGCUGUGUACUGAAAGCACUCACAAUGCUUGUUCCAGUAUAAAUAAUGUUUAGUUAAAACUGAAUUAAUCUUUUCGGUACAACUAAAUGAUCCACUGUUCUUCUGAACAAUGACAUGCUUUGUAUAAAUACUGUUUAGUGCAUAUUACUCCGGUACUCAUCAGUGCAUUUUACAAUGAUAUACAGAUCGAGUGUAGUCAUUUGGUACUUCCCUUUGAAGUUGUAGCCCCUGUAGUAAUGUCAAAAUGAUGCUUAUCUACUCAUGUCAAUUAAGUGAUGGAACUACAAGUACUCCAUUAAGUGAUGUAACAUCAUCAUGUACUGGCACCAUUUUUGCCUUGCUUGUUACUCCAUGCUGGUCCCAUGUCAAUUAAGUGAUGGAACUACAAGUACUCCGUUCCAUAAUUUUUAUCGUGGUUUUAGUUCAAAUGGAACAGAGGGAUUAAUUGGCAGUGCCAAAUGCAGAAGCAUUUGGUUCUCUAACAUCGAACAUGGGUUUAGACUGAAUUUGACAAGGAACAUGGGUUUAGGCAAAUUUGGAUGCCUGAUGGAAAAUGUGGGCUGCAGCCUGCACACUGGACCUGUUAACUCCUGAAUUUCAGUGCACUUGCUACUUUUAUUUGUUUGCUUUCAAAUUCUAGUGAUUCCUCAAAUUCUGCUGUAAAUUACUGCUGUUGUCGCGCUGUUUAACUGAUUCCUCAAAUUCUGCUGUAAAUUUCAGUGUACGGGCGAGGAGUACCUGCCUGGAGUGUUGUUUGCGGCGAGGACCAGGCUGGGCAGCGCGGCGACCAAGCUGGCGUUGAGAGGACCAGGCUGGUGCGGCGAGGACCAAAUUGGGAGCGGCGGAGGCGGCGGCCAGGCUGGGGCGGCGGCGAUCAAAUUGGGAGCGGCGGCGACCAAACUGGGCAAGGACGACGGGGAAGAGACUGGCGAAGGGGCCUGCUGGUGGAUGGACUAGUAGCUGGAGGAGGUGGAGGGCGGAGGAGGUGGCUGGCCUGGCGGAGGAAGACGACGACUCUCAGCGACAACUCUCGUUUUCAAAUCAGGGGUAUUUUUGUACUUUUGUUCAUUUUCACCUUGUCGGAAAUUUCUCCCAGCUACAACUAUUUCGGUACAGAGGGAGUAAUUUGCAUGUUGGUUUGUGUGCUUCAGCAAUCACGAUACUACUUUGUGAUAUGAUUAGUGAGAGGUAUUUUGCAUGGUUCUCUUAUAUCUUUUUUCUCUCUAUAUAAAGUAGCAUUAUUUCAAAAUGUCCUUGUAUUUCCUCUCAGAAGCUCACACCUGAAUAUCAUGAUAUAUGCUUGUAAAAA
Long non-coding RNA from Aegilops tauschii subsp. strangulata, 3120 nucleotides. RefSeq lists it as uncharacterized. Lineage: Eukaryota; Viridiplantae; Streptophyta; Magnoliopsida; Poales; Poaceae. The record is from RefSeq and is a predicted model, not a curated record.